Long non-coding RNA from Apodemus sylvaticus (European woodmouse), 840 nucleotides. RefSeq lists it as uncharacterized. The record is from RefSeq and is a predicted model, not a curated record. Lineage: Eukaryota; Metazoa; Chordata; Mammalia; Rodentia; Muridae. The transcript has 2 exons.
GUGAAUGUCCUGAUGAGGAAAGGGGAGGGUGCUCUGGGCAACAGUCUAAGCUCUAAUCCAAAGCUUAGCAUGCCAGCUGUUCCCCACCCACCCUACCAUUAGCUCUGAAGAUGAGCCCAGCAGUGGCUCCGGGCUGUGACACUCAGUCCAGGCUCUACAGCCCUGGGAUGAAUAUGGUUUAUCUCCCUGCAGAGCCCAUUCCACUGACGUGCAAGGGAAACUCAGGCUGGUAAGAAAUUUAACACAGGCAAAUAAAUUCUAAAGCAGGAUCCAACAUUGACAUGAACUUGCUUCAUUUGCAGAUGGGAUCUCACUAGCUCCUGCAUUCUCUUGCCUCAGCCUCCCGAGUGCUGCGAUUAGAACUGUGCAACACAUCUGAAAACACUAGUUUCGAAACCAAAACUGAGUCUCAAAAAAUUCUACCCUCGCUCAUCAACUGCCUAGUGGUCCUGGAGCCCAGUGAGCGGUGUCAGCGCUUUUCCCUCUGUGAUGGUAAAAGGCUGAGGAGCGCCCACAGCCUCAGGAGCAGAGGAAGUGUGGCAUCCCAACUAAGCAUCACAGACAGUGUCUGCGCUAAGAGACAUGGACGAUUGCUUUGCAGUGCUAGAGGCGCUGUGAGCAGCACAGUGUCAGGUUCCUGGCACACAGCGGCCCCUAUGGGAUGGGCAGGGAGGAAAAUGGAUUCUGGCGGUACAGGUAGCAUCUCUGUCCCCACUGCUCAAGAUAAACACAAGCGUCUCAGGCAUUAGUGCCCACGUGGUCCCUCAUGACCCUCACACCCCGGCUGCUGCUGUAGCUUCUAUCCCAUCUUAGCACCCGAGACGUAAACACUGCAAAGGA